GACGAACGCUGGCGGCGUGCCUAAUACAUGCAAGUCGAACGCUUCUUUCCUCCCGAGUGCUUGCACUCAAUUGGAUAGAGGAGUGGCGGACGGGUGAGUAACACGUGGGUAACCUACCCAUCAGAGGGGGAUAACACUUGGAAACAGGUGCUAAUACCGCAUAACAGUUUAUGCCGCAUGGCAUAAGAGUGAAAGGCGCUUUCGGGUGUCGCUGAUGGAUGGACCCGCGGUGCAUUAGCUAGUUGGUGAGGUAACGGCUCACCAAGGCCACGAUGCAUAGCCGACCUGAGAGGGUGAUCGGCCACACUGGGACUGAGACACGGCCCAGACUCCUACGGGAGGCAGCAGUAGGGAAUCUUCGGCAAUGGACGAAAGUCUGACCGAGCAACGCCGCGUGAGUGAAGAAGGUUUUCGGAUCGUAAAACUCUGUUGUUAGAGAAGAACAAGGACGUUAGUAACUGAACGUCCCCUGACGGUAUCUAACCAGAAAGCCACGGCUAACUACGUG
RNAcentral lists this ribosomal RNA (508 nucleotides) under uncultured bacterium. RNAcentral's name for it is "partial 16S ribosomal RNA". It matches the Rfam family "Bacterial small subunit ribosomal RNA", at positions 28 to 507 of the family's 1533-position model. The record is from RNAcentral.